GGCCAUGCGAGUUGCCGCAGACACGGCUGCAAGAAAAGAUCCAAACCACCACGCGUCAGGGCAUAAAACCAUCAAGCGAUCCAAGGCGCGUGAAUCAUGUGCAUCUAAGACGAGUAUUGCAUAAGAUUUAGAGCUAAGCUACGGGCUUGCGCCACGGAUCUACAGGUGGAGACAUGAAGCGCAUCUUGCUACCGAUCUAGGAAGGGGCGUGGUACAACCUUCCAACCGAUCGAGGGAAGGGAGUAGAGAGAGGAUCA
RNAcentral lists this long non-coding RNA (257 nucleotides) under Hordeum vulgare. Its description in RNAcentral is "long non-coding RNA (HVUL_LNC013925)". Lineage: Eukaryota; Viridiplantae; Streptophyta; Magnoliopsida; Poales; Poaceae. The record is from RNAcentral.